Molecule: ribosomal RNA, 815 nt
Filed under: Staphylococcus caprae
Lineage: Bacteria; Bacillati; Bacillota; Bacilli; Caryophanales; Staphylococcaceae
Also listed under: 1 other name
Description: bacterial SSU rRNA
Rfam family: Bacterial small subunit ribosomal RNA
Source: RNAcentral
AGGUCUUCGGAUCGUAAAACUCUGUUAUUAGGGAAGAACAAAUGUGUAAGUAACUAUGCACGUCUUGACGGUACCUAAUCAGAAAGCCACGGCUAACUACGUGCCAGCAGCCGCGGUAAUACGUAGGUGGCAAGCGUUAUCCGGAAUUAUUGGGCGUAAAGCGCGCGUAGGCGGUUUUUUAAGUCUGAUGUGAAAGCCCACGGCUCAACCGUGGAGGGUCAUUGGAAACUGGAAAACUUGAGUGCAGAAGAGGAAAGUGGAAUUCCAUGUGUAGCGGUGAAAUGCGCAGAGAUAUGGAGGAACACCAGUGGCGAAGGCGACUUUCUGGUCUGUAACUGACGCUGAUGUGCGAAAGCGUGGGGAUCAAACAGGAUUAGAUACCCUGGUAGUCCACGCCGUAAACGAUGAGUGCUAAGUGUUAGGGGGUUUCCGCCCCUUAGUGCUGCAGCUAACGCAUUAAGCACUCCGCCUGGGGAGUACGACCGCAAGGUUGAAACUCAAAGGAAUUGACGGGGACCCGCACAAGCGGUGGGAGCAUUUGGUUUAAUUCGAAGCAACGCGAAGAACCUUACCAAAUUUUGACAUCCUCUGACCCCUCUAGAGAUAGAGUUUUCCCCUUCGGGGGACAGAGUGACAGGUGGUGCAUGGUUGUCGUCAGCUCGUGUCGUGGAGAUGUUGGGUUAAGUCCCGCAACGAGCGCAACCCUUAAGCUUAGUUGCCAUCAUUAAGUUGGGCACUCUAAGUUGACUGCCGGUGACAAACCGGAGGAAGGUGGGGGAUGACGUCAAAUCAUCAUGCCCCUUAUGAUUUGGGCU